AGAGAGCCCGGCUAUGAUGCUAUUAAAAGUACUAAACACUUGGUGCUUGCAUGUUUUCCACCGUUAGAUCUAUUUCUUUAAUCAAUUCCAACUCUUAGAUCAUGCUAUUUCACCAAACAACCUCUGAAUAUCUGAGUUUUCAGUUGGUUUUGGAGUGUAAUAAAGGAUUUGUGUUUUCUUGAAAUAAAAAAAUGGUUUUCUACCCAUCGUGGUAGCGUUUUAAAAAAAGAUAAAAGUUCAUGUGUAGGAACAGUUUUCAAAAGGUUUUCUAUGGAUUUUGCAUCUUAGUAUUUCAAAACUUGUUUCUGUGGUUGGAAACAUUUUAACUGAUAGAUGUGGAUUUAUAUUUAAUAUUGAAUGUAAAAAUGUGAACCUGUGGUGAAUGGUGUAUGAAUAUAUAACUGUUGUUAUUUGUAUGUUCAUCUGGUUGUGGUUGUAUCAUGUUUGAACUCUUGUACUUGUGCGCCGCCGUGCAAAUACAGGGGAGACUCUGUCCGUGUGAACAGUGGAUCUUCUGUAUUUGUGGCGGAUCUGGCAUACCCUGGGGUCAGGUUUU
Molecule: long non-coding RNA, 556 nt
Filed under: Ananas comosus (pineapple)
Lineage: Eukaryota; Viridiplantae; Streptophyta; Magnoliopsida; Poales; Bromeliaceae
Description: long non-coding RNA (ACOM_LNC043816)
Source: RNAcentral